RNAcentral lists this ribosomal RNA (456 nucleotides) under Cryobacterium sp. R-43143. Its description in RNAcentral is "bacterial SSU rRNA". It matches the Rfam family "Bacterial small subunit ribosomal RNA", at positions 17 to 473 of the family's 1533-position model. The record is from RNAcentral. Lineage: Bacteria; Bacillati; Actinomycetota; Actinomycetes; Micrococcales; Microbacteriaceae.
UCCUGGCUCAGGACGAACGCUGGCGGCGUGCUUAACACAUGCAAGUCGAACGGUGAUGAGGAGCUUGCUCCUUGGAUCAGUGGCGAACGGGUGAGUAACACGUGAGCAAUCUGCCCUUGACUYUGGGAUAACUGCGGGAAACUGUAGCUAAUACCGGAUAUUACCCUUGGAGGCAUCUSUUKGGGKGGAAAGAAUUUUGGUCAGGGAUGAGCUCGCGGCCUAUCAGCUAGUUGGUGAGGUAAUGGCUCACCAAGGCGACGACGGGUAGCCGGCCUGAGAGGGUGACCGGCCACACUGGGACUGAGACACGGCCCAGACUCCUACGGGAGGCAGCAGUGGGGAAUAUUGCACAAUGGGCGCAAGCCUGAUGCAGCAACGCCGCGUGAGGGACGAAGGCCUUCGGGUUGUAAACCUCUUUUAGUAGGGAAGAAGCGACUGGGUUUUCCUGGGAGUGAC